This is a long non-coding RNA of Cyprinus carpio carpio, 2408 nucleotides long. NCBI's taxonomy places the organism in Eukaryota, Metazoa, Chordata, Actinopteri, Cypriniformes, Cyprinidae. The record is from Ensembl.
UGGAAGCAAUUAAAAUCAACAAAAGAGUAAUGAUAUGCAAGUGGUAUAACAAGUUUCAGUUACAGUAAACAUGACAAGGGUUUAUAGAGAGAGAGAGAGAGAGAGAGAGAGAGAGAGAGAGAGUGUGUGUGUGUGUGUGUGUGUGUGUGUGACCCUGGACCACAAAUGAUUAUGCCAAAAAUCAUUAGGUUAUUUAGGAAAGGUCAUGUUCCAUGAAGAUAUUUUGUAAAUUUCCUACUGUAAAUAUAUCAAGCAUUGUUAAGAACUUCAUUUGGACAACUUUAAAGGCGAUUUUCUCAAUAUUUAGAUGUUUUAUAUAAGUGUGAGUUGUGUUCUGUAUAUGGGCGUGGUUUUGUUGUUAUUGAAGUAGGAGUGGAGAACAGAUACUUCCGUGAAUGCGCACCUGAAUAAUAAUAAUAAUCACCUGAACGCGAAAUUAUACUGAGCGGCCGCCCAGUCACACAACCUUAUUAAUAUUCAUGAGCUAAGCCUUGCGCUUAUUCGCCGAUUAACUGUCGCUUACCUCCUCGCGGCCAUCGUUCAGCGAAUCACAUAAUCCGACUGGGCGGACGUCAGAUUAGCUAAUUAAUAUUCAUGAGAAAAGCUCUUGUAGAUCUCGGCUAAAAACACAGACCUUCACAAACGUCCAUCAGAGAGUUUGAUAUCUACAACGGUUCAACAUGGCAGAUGAAAAGGUGAAGAAGUCAGAGGGCAAACAGGUGGAGGGAAUCUUUGGGUUUGGAAAGAAGGAUAAAGACAAGGAAAAGUGCAAAGACAAGUGUGAUUCUAAGGAUAAAGAUAAGCACAAAGAACACAAAGAUAAAGAACAUAAAGACAAAGACAAGAAGAAGAAGAAAGACAAGGAGCACAAGAAGAAGGACGGUGACAAGUCCUCGUCUUCCUCCAGCGAUUCGGACUAAUGCAAGACUGAAGAUUCAUCUGAUACCUCCAAUAUCAUAAUGUAAAAUCUUUAUUAAAUGAUUUUUGUAGACGUAUAAAUGCAAUAUUAUGCAAUGUAGUGGGGAAAAAUCAAUCUCUUGAAGUUUUCAUAAAGUUUUUGAGCUGUAAUUACAAACAUCCACAAGGUGGCGCUACUUACAUGUCAAAUCCUCAGUGAGGCACUGGAAUAAAGAGACUUAUCAGCUAUUGUGUGUGAAAUUGUUUUCUGGUUUAAUAUAUUAUGAGGUUUGAAAUAAUUUUUCACCCAUUUUGUCUGAUAUUAGCUUUCAGUGAUUGCUGGUUAGUGAACUCUUUUUGUUUUGUUAAAUCUUGCCCAGUUUGUUGUACAAAUGUAGGCCAUGUUUGAUCAAUUUAUGUAUGUAGCUAAUAAUCGAUUUUAAAGCAUUCAGCACAAAUGAAUGCAUAUAUAUUAUCAAAAUAAAGCUUUAUCUAGUAACGUAGUUCAUUAGAAAUAGGUUAAAGUGGUUAGGUUAUCCCGCAUCCUCUGAGUUUCACCAUGAAAAUGGAAAAAGUCAGUUGUCAACACGACAAUAUCUUUGUCUGAACAGCACGCUUAUGCAAAUGCAUGGUUGAUUUUGAAGGUUUCAGCACAGAUCUGUCUCGUUUGAGCACGAUUUGUUUGCUUAUUCAUCUAUGUUUGAGUACGGCACAGAUAAUUCAUCUGAACAGCAGGGACGAAACGCGGCUGCUUCCAAACUCUGUUUUGGACGUUCUUUGCUGGGCUGAAGACAACUGUAUGCCAGAGAUAAGAGAACAGGACGAUUGUUGCCCAGAGGCGGAAGAGAGGGAUAUUUCUCUCUGUCCAUCAGACUGAGACAGUCUUUCUCUCUUAUUCUGUGCCAAACGCCUGCAGGAUAAAUGCAAAGCACUGUGUUGCAUUUUUAUUUUAUAUUUUCAGCCACACCCUGUCAAUCUUUCACAUGCAUAUUUCAUCAAACACACUGAAGAUGCUGAAAGUUUAAUCGGGGGAAAAGUUGGCUUGUUUGGGCGGUUGGAGCUGUUCAGUGCGGUCGGGGUCAGAGAUCUGAACAUCAGCAGAAUCUCAGCAGCAUCUGCUGCUCUGCACAUUUCUCACAGAAGAUGGAUGGAAAUGCAGAGAAGUUUUUCUCAGGUGUGUGAGGGGUUACUUAGCUGUACUUUGAGGACAAAUUGGUCCCAGAAGUAACUAAAUCGGGCAAAAUUUGACUGCGGUCAAAAAAUUAAAUUGCACGUAAAAUAAAUGAUGUUGUUGUAUUCUUUGAGGGUUAAUAUUAAUUAUUAUAUUAGAAGUUAGGUGUAUGUGUGUGUAUGGAGUGCCACAUCUUUAAAAAUUAAAUUGAACAUGAAUAAAUAAAUAAUAAUUUAAAUAAUAAAUAAUUAAUUACAUUUAGUGAAUGAAUACAUUUAUAAUGGAUUACUUUGUUUUCCUUUAUUUUAUUUCUGUAUUAACUUUUUUUGCUUUAUUUUUU